AUAGCGUAUAUUAAAGUUGUUGCAGUUAAAAAGCUCGUAGUUGAAUUUCGGGAUUGGCGCAUCGGUCGUGCCUCACGGGGUAUGAACUGGUGCAGUCAAUUUCUCACCUUCUGGAGAACCGCGAUGUCCUUAAUUGGAUGCCGCGGGGAACCAGGACCUUUACUUUGAAAAAAUUAGAGUGUUUAAAGCAGGCAUUUUUGCUUGAAUACAUUAGCAUGGAAUAAUAAAAUAGGACGGCAUGGUUCUAUUUUGUUGGUUUCUAGGACCACCGUAAUGAUUAAUAGGGAUAGUUGGGGGCAUUAGUAUUCAAUUGUCAGAGGUGAAAUUCUUGGAUUUAUUGAAGACUAACUACUG
RNAcentral lists this ribosomal RNA (354 nucleotides) under uncultured eukaryote. Its description in RNAcentral is "SSU rRNA". It matches the Rfam family "Eukaryotic small subunit ribosomal RNA", at positions 594 to 945 of the family's 1831-position model. The record is from RNAcentral.